CUUUGAACUAACAUUUAAUUUGUAAUUUGAAAAACUACGGCUUCGGAGUCGAUGCUCGAAAAGAUGAUGGCUCUGCUAUCUUUGAGCUGUCAAAGUUGUCAAACAUCAAAUGUGUGACAAAAUGAGGUUAGACCGGCAAGUUCGUAAAUAUUUUCGAAUUUGAGGGUUCUAACUUUUAUAGCGACAGGCAUUAGUUCAAUUAAAGGUCUAUAUACAAACAGACCUAGAUGCCUACGAUAAUAGAUGCAAUCCGCUCAGUUCAACAAUACCAACGAAAUGCCUACGAUAAUAGAUGCAAUCCGCUGAUUCCAACAACACCACCGAUUAUAGAUGCCUACGAUAAUAGAUGCAGUUCAACGAUAAUUAAUAUAAAUGAAGUUCGCCGAUGAAUUUAAUGUCCUUCUCCAAGUGAAUUCUUGCGCUUGCAAUGAACGCCUUCUGAACGUAUGAGACUGAAACCAAAAAACCAUUUUGUGAACAAUGCGAUGAAUAUAUUUGUACCUUGAACUUACCUGGACGUCAAUAAUUUUGAACAGUGUGAUAACGCUCGAAACAUUCAGGAACAUGCAGCGCUACCAGACAUUUCUUACAUUCCCAAACAGUUUCACUCCGCUUCUGAUGUUUCUUACAAACUUUGCAGGCCCGAGUAGGAUUUUGUUUCUUUAAAGUUUCGGGAAUGUGCCGCGGAAAAUGUCCCCAGUGAAUUGAUUGAAGUCGUAAAGGGGUAUCACCUUGAGCUGGACGUCCUUUGUUGUUGUAAUCGGGUAACGAUAAACUUUUCAACAAUUGUUCAGCGACAUCCAAUCGGUAGUUUACGUAAUGAUUUUGUUUUGCUCUCGUUUUAGAGUACAGCACGUACGAAUUGAAGAGCCCCAUGUCGAACAGGUAGAAGAAUAUCUUACGAUAUCCCUUCAAAAAUUUUCUCAUCACCGGAAAACAGGCCAACACUUGAUCUUGAUGAUCCACACCGCCCAUUCCAUGGUUAUAUUCGAUUACACAUUUCGGCUUCAACGUGUUGUUUCCUGUAGACGUUCCCCCUUUUUUAAACUUUUUUUUUUCGACGGCAGUCAUCUCAGCAUUUUUGUGCUUUGUAGACAACAAAUACACAUCCUUUCGAUCGCUCCACUUUAGGGCCAAAAUUCCAUGGCUUGAUCUAGCUGCUGUUUCACCUUUUUUGAGUUUGAGUGAUUCAAGAUCCUUCGGCAUGUUCUUGCGAUUGCUUCUAACAGUUCCGAUAGCAUUCGUGUCAUGCUCAAGUAGAUAAUCAAAUAUAUUCGGAGACGAGUACCAAUUAUCUAAAUAAAGCGUGUAGCCCUGGUUGAUAAGCGGCUCCAUAAGGUCUCGAACCACAGUUUCUGACACAUUGAAGUCGUUUUCACCGUCUUUAUCCUGUCCGCCAGUGUAUAUUUUAAAGUUUAAGCAAUAACCAGAGUUCGAUUCGCAUAAUUUAUAAAACUUGAUACCAUAACGAGCUCUUUUGAUACGAACGAAAACCACACAUCCUAGCCGACCUUUGAAUUUCAUCAAUGACUCGUCGAUCGAUACAUUUUGUUCCGGAGUAUACAGUUCGUCGAACUUAUCAUUCAAAUAAUCCGCAAUAUUACGAACUUUUGUCAUUUUGUCAUCUUUAUCAGACGACUCAUUAUUCACAAAAUGCAAAAAGCGAGUUAUACCCAAAAAACGGCGAUAAGGCAUUGUCUGUGCAUAAAUCGGAGUGAAAACUAUUGCUCGCUUCGACCAAUUCAUCUGGACAGUGGGUUUUUUAACUUGUGUCAUCAAAACGCUCAAUGCAAUAUAAGCUUUCAUUUCAUCAAUGCUCACCGGGAACCACUCUUCAUCAAUUUUUUUAGUUUUUGAAUUUUCUUGAAUGACCUGCUCAGCGUAUCGAUUGGUUUCUUCAGUUAACUUAUCCCAAAAUUCUUGAUCAAAAACUUCGUUGAAGACUUUCAGAGCAGAUGGAUCGUCUCCCAAACGAUGAAGCACAGGAUUUUUCAGGCCAGGAGUAGCAGUAAACUUCUUGAUUUGUGGAACAUUAUCUCCUUUCUUCCAAACCCAUUCUUUUUGAUCAGCGACUUUUCGUUGUUUUGCCGGCGGAAAGGAAUAAAAAAGGUCUUCGUCACUUUCAACCUCACUGCCGCUCAUCCAUUCCGAAGAAUCAGAAUCUUCGGAAGAAAUCUCCUCGUCAGAAGAAUAAGAAAAAUCACUUUCGUUAUCGGAAGACAUUUUUGAGAAUGAAAAUAUAAACAAAAACUGUGACUUAAGAUUUUUAUUCAUAGCUGUUAACUAGAUCAAAAUUUAAAUUUCAAUCAAAUUACAUGAAACGAGAUGUGCUCGUGCUUUUAGGCUAAAGGGUUUUAACACUCACACCUACAAUUUCACACCCUUGAAAUAGUGACACUGGUCACACACCCACCAAAUUUGCUUUCUACGGUAAAAACUUUGAAUAAAAAUUGGAAUUAAACUCUAUUCUAAUUAACCUCUUGUGUGUAUUUUUAUGAACUGGGAAACGCGACUCCCAAUUCUCUAAUGACCCUUUUACGUCGCUACGCUGCAUCAAGAUGACUUUGCAAUCGUUCAAAUAUUCACAUAACUAGAGAAUCUAACAGCAACCAUGUCAAUUCACACAAUGGAUAACUGCUCGGGUACGUUGCCCAUUAAGUGAUGAUCUUUUGGCUUAAUCCCACAGUAAAACUAAUUAAGAAAAAUUAAAAUUUUAAAGUAGAAGAAUUUUAAGCAAAUUCAUUUGUUUGUUUGCUAUUCAAAACCUAAACCAGAACCGAACCUGUUACCUCAUCCUCAACUCUAAAAGUGUUAGAUUGAUGUGAUGCGUACAUGCGUUGUUUUGUUAUAUUCUACAGCAAAAAUUGUUCAGAAAUGUAUCUAAAGUUGGUUCUAAAAUUGUAAUGCAGGUUAAUUAAUUUCAUGUUUUUAUUUUUCAAUUGUUUUUUUUUACGGUACACUUUAAUGCAUAAAAACAAUCGCAUAGCAAAAUACAAUGUAUUUAUUCUAUUGUUGGGAACAUCGGUCAUAUCACGCGGUUCAAAUAUGGAUUGUUAUUUCCGAUACCGAGGACAAGAAUCGUCGAAGCGUAAAUAAAUUGUUGAUAAUUUUUUGUAACUUCAAGAAAGAACCUUCUAGCUGCUACUGUGCGAAGUUGUGAUAUACUGAGAAUUGGGAUUAUCUUUAAAUUGGCUUCUUAAUUUGUGUAUACACUCAAUUUUCUUCGUGAUGUAAGUAUAACAUACGUGGUCUUAUGUUAUAAAUUAUGAUAUAGUAAAGUGAACGUGUAUUGACGGCGGGCGUGUAAAUGAUACGUGUGUGUCGCAUAACAGUAUGUAUUUUACUGAAUGUUUCUGCAGAAUUCAUUAUUUGACCUUAAUGCAGUCAUUGAUAACGAAUAUUAAAUCAAAAACAAUUGACGUAAAAAUCUGGAACGUUUUUCAGACAACUAUAUUUCAUCUGUUGAAACCGCAACGACAGAGAUUCAUGUCGCAAUAAAGAAAAGUUAUGAUGAAACUGAUAAAGUAAAAGAUUUUUCUAUCAAUGUUUCUAAAAUACUUUUAAUCAAAUGAAGUAAUAGAUUCGACGAUUCUGUGAUAUCCUUGACUAACUGGGAAAUUGAAGAAUGACUACACCAACCCCCAUUUUCCGUCGAAGCUAUACAUCCCAGCAUAUUAACCCUGUUCUCUACACGCUUUACAUUACCUCCUGUACAAUAGACCCUCUGCUUGUGUUAGCAUUACGAACAAUUGACAUUCAUCAAUAUGUCGUGCAUGUAGAUACGUGUAAAAUUUUAUUGAUGUCACAAUUUGAUGAUUUAUGAAUAGUUGGAAAAACUAUGACAAAUUAUCGUGUGUUUGUUGUUGUUGUUAGUUGUUCUACGUUGAAUACGCAGUUAAAUAUAAAGUCAUAAUUGGAUACUUAAUGGAUCGUAACAAAAUGGGUGAAAGUGUGGGAUUAUGGUUUUAGCUAUGAAUGAACUUGUAGAUAAUAUUCUAAAGAAUUUAUUCUAUCUACUCCUAAAACUAUCAAAAAUUUGUAACCCGCUAAGUAGAUAAAGUCUAAACAGACAAUAGAAUGAAAAGUUUACACCAUUUCUGUUAAAUUGAUUAACGUAACACCAGUAGCUCAUCGAAAAGAACAAAACAGGAAGAGGAAGGACGGUAAUUUAAGAACGUUGUAAAAUAUGGCUAGAAUGUCAUGAAACUGAUGUAGUAAAUGUUAUGUGCUGUGCAACCCAUUUGAAUAUUCCUAGACUACGACACUGUAAUAACAAUUAACUCUAAUUGCUCUAUUCGACUACUAUGAAUGGAGUAUGUAAAUUUGGAACACCUUGACAGUAUGUAGAAAGAAAAAAGGCCUAACGCACAUCGAAUAAAUAAUUGAAUAUUAUGAUAAUGGAACUAACAAAGGCAAAUUACAAACUUAUUAUUUUAAGCAUUUUGUUGUUAGGAAUUUCGUAAAUCUUUGGAAGAACGACCUGCUUAAUGUAAUACUCUAUGAGCGUGACACUAACUAAGUAUGAUGUUUACGCUAAUUGAAUUUUACAUAUCGAAGUGCAGUGAGUGUAUGCCGUGAAAUUGUCGUUUCUUACAUGAGUUAGUAAAUCUAGAAAAAUUUCCAAUCUCACAAUAACUUAUGUUAAACUUCUGUUUGUUGUAGUAAAUUAGCCAAAACCAACGCACUUUAAGAAAACUGAUCAUAGUCUAUACAGUUGCCAAAUAGAGUACUAUUUUGUAUGAAAUGGUUUUUUACCGUGUUUUACCAUUGUGUUACGAAGUGCGUUGUCAAAACACAUCGAUGACCGUUAGCAACUCAGUUUUGAGCACCCGUCCUAAACGUUUCUUUUCAAAAUGAAAGUCUCUAAGUCUCCUUCCCAGUGGGAUGAAGAAAAAAGAUUUUUGACCGAGUUACGAUAAGAAGUACUUUCGGUUCAUGUUUAUCAACACAAUUCAGAUGAUGCAUGUCUAAUAUUGUGAUAAUGAAGACUAAUUUCUCUAUUUUCAUUCUC
Long non-coding RNA from Bradysia coprophila, 5011 nucleotides. RefSeq lists it as uncharacterized. NCBI's taxonomy places the organism in Eukaryota, Metazoa, Arthropoda, Insecta, Diptera, Sciaridae. The record is from RefSeq and is a predicted model, not a curated record.